This 366-nucleotide ribosomal RNA is filed under the name Chitinophaga sp. RNAcentral's name for it is "bacterial SSU rRNA". It matches the Rfam family "Bacterial small subunit ribosomal RNA", at positions 48 to 412 of the family's 1533-position model. The record is from RNAcentral. Lineage: Bacteria; Pseudomonadati; Bacteroidota; Chitinophagia; Chitinophagales; Chitinophagaceae.
CUAAUACAUGCAGUCGAGGGGCAGCAUGGGUAGCAAUACCUGAUGGCGACCGGCAAACGGGUGCGGAACACGUACGCAACCUUCCUUCAAGCGGGGAAUAGCCCAGAGAAAUUUGGAUUAAUACCCCAUAGGAAUGUAGUCUCGCAUGAGACAGCAUUUAAAGAUUUAUCACUUGAAGAUGGGCGUGCGUCUGAUUAGGUAGUUGGUGAGGUAACGGCUCACCAAGCCGACGAUCAGUAACUGGCGUGAGAGCGCGACCAGUCACUCGGGCACUGAGACUCGGGCCCGACUCCUACGGGAGGCAGCAGUAAGGAAUAUUGGUCAAUUUACGCAAGUCUCAACCUCCCAUGCCACGUGCAGGAUUAA